GCGGCAAAAGCUCAAAUUUGAAAUCCCCCCGGGGAGUUGUAAUUUGAAGAUUGCGUCUUGGAGGCGACCGUGUCUAUGUUCCUUGGAACAGGACGUCACAGAGGGUGAGAAUCCCGUGCGGCACGGCCCCCGGCUCCUUAUAAGGCGCUCUCGACGAGUCGAGUUGUUUGGGAAUGCAGCUCAAAGUGGGUGGUAAAUUCCAUCUAAAGCUAAAUACAGGCGAGAGACCGAUAGCGAACAAGUACAGUGAUGGAAAGAUGAAAAGCACUUUGAAAAGAGAGUGAAACAGCACGUGAAAUUGUUGAAAGGGAAGGGCAUGCCGUCAGAUUGUCAGUGUGGGUAAGAAGCGGGGUACAAAGACUGUGGAACGUGGCCCUCGGGUGUUAUAGCCGCAGUUCAUGCCCCGUCUCUUUCCGAGGCCUGCUUUGAGGACACCGACGUAAUGACGGUACGCCGCCCGUCUUG
Molecule: ribosomal RNA, 465 nt
Filed under: Kodamaea ohmeri
Lineage: Eukaryota; Fungi; Ascomycota; Pichiomycetes; Serinales; Debaryomycetaceae
Description: partial large subunit ribosomal RNA
Rfam family: Eukaryotic large subunit ribosomal RNA
Source: RNAcentral